This 210-nucleotide unclassified non-coding RNA is filed under the name Hevea brasiliensis (rubber tree). Lineage: Eukaryota; Viridiplantae; Streptophyta; Magnoliopsida; Malpighiales; Euphorbiaceae. The record is from RNAcentral.
GCAGUUAGAAGCUACUUGAAGGAGCAUCACGAGACCUCGCCGAUGUUGAGUGGCAUGAUUACGUGCACAAAAGACCACACAAUUAAAGAAUUGAUUCUAAAACUUGAUUCUGAAAAAAUUCAUCGAAUAUACGUUGUGGAUGAUGCUGGUAAUCUGGAAGGAGUGAUUACACUGAGAGACGUCAUCUCAAGGCUUGUACAUGAGCCUCCU